RNAcentral lists this long non-coding RNA (6596 nucleotides) under Podarcis lilfordi (Lilford's wall lizard). The record is from RNAcentral. Lineage: Eukaryota; Metazoa; Chordata; Lepidosauria; Squamata; Lacertidae.
CAGCCUCAAGUUACAGCAACUCGCUACUCCCCAAGGAAAGCAAGGGCGUUGCUGGAGCACCGCGAACAGAUCUGUAGUCAUCUUAAGAUGACAUACACAACUGGCAUCAGAGAGGUGGUGAGGCUUUUUUCCAGUUUGAAAUCAAACAAGUAAGAUCACUUCCCUCUUUGUCUGUGCUGCUGUGAUGGGACUGCCAACCCCCCCCCCCCCCCCCAGGCUCAGCUGCUUGCCAACUGCCAAGAAUUAUAGUACGGUUUUGCAGCCCAUUAAAAAUAAUUGGUGUAUGGAGAAUAGGUGAAACGGAGGGAGGAAAAAUUCAAAUUUGUUUGCAUUUUAAUGAGAAACUGCCUAACUCACAUUUCUCAAACCAAAAUGUGAACCAAAACACAGAUACCAUUUGAAACUGACACUUUUCUGAAUUUUUCGAUGCAGUUCUGCAACCAAAUAAUAUGAACAAAAAUGAAUAUUUUUUUGGGGUGGGAUGUGCAUAAAAGCACAUAUAUCUGUGAAACAGUCAUACAGGAAUGCAUUGUAUUGCAUGACAUUGCUUGCAAAAAUGUGUAUCUUGAUCAAAACUGCAAUGCACAAAUGUGUUUAUUUUUGAGAAAUUGUCACCAAAAUGCUAACGAAUUUUCAUGAGGAUUUUUUCCUUAUAAAAAUAAGCCAUAAAGUGCUGCGGAAAUGUCGGUAACUGAAAUUAAGUUUGGAAAAAUCUGAAACCUGGAGAACCAAAUUGACAGAUUUGUCCAUCUGCAAAAGGGCAUUAUAGAUGCAUCAGGUCAUUGUCAGAAAGGUGGAUGCAGAGUUAGUCCAGGAUCUUUCUCUUAGGAUUGUUUGGGAAAAUAGGAUUGACAUAAUCAUAGAAUUACAGAGCUGGGAGGGAACCCAAGGUUCAUCUAGUCUAUGGGUAGGCAAACUAAGGCCCAGGGACUGGAUCCAGCCCAAUCGCCUUCUAAAUCCGGCCCGUGGACGGUCUGGGAAUCAGCGUGUUUUUACGUGAGUAGAAUGUGUCCUUUUAUUUAAAAUGCAUCUCUGGGUUAUUUGUGGGGCAUAGGAAUUCGUUCAUUUUUGCUUCUUCCAGAUGUUUAGGCGGAAUCUCCUUUCUUAUACAGUGGUACCUCGGGCUAAGAACUUAAUUUGUUCUGGAGGUCAGUUCUUAACCUGAGACACCACUUUAGCUAGUGAGGCCUCCCGCUGCCGCCAUGUCACCACUUGAUUUCUGUUCUCAUCCUGAAGCAAAGUUCUUAACCCGAGGUACUAUUUCUGGGUUAGCGCAGUUUGAAACCUGAAGCAUCUGUAACCUGAAGCGUCUGUAACCCGAGGUACCACUGUAAUUUGAUGGCCACCAACUUGGAUGACAUUUUAAAAGGAUUAGAAAUAUUCACAGGGAUAAGACUAUCAAUGGCUUCUAGCCAUGAUAGCUAUCUCUGCUGUGCCUCCACUGUCUGAAGGCAUUGUGCCUGUGAAUACCAGUUGCUAGGGAUUGCAAGUGAGCAGAGUGCUGCUAUGCUGAGGUCCAGUUUUUGAGGUUCUCACUGCUGCUUGGUUUGAGAACAGGCUGCUGGACUAGAUGGGCCAUUAGCUUGAGCCAGCAGGUUCAUCUAAUGCUCUUAUGUGUUAGAACAUCUCAGUAGAUUUUUGAUAGUUGCGGACAUACAAUGCCUUCCAUGCAUUGGCCUUCCAUUGACAGAAAAUGGUGUGGCUAGAUUUACACCUACCGAAAUCUGUAUUGCCAAACACUAUAUUUAAUGUAGCAGUUCCCUAUUAAAUGUGGGUUAUUGUCAGGAUGCUGUCAGAGGCUCCUGGCUGGUUGCCCAGGAAAGUACAAAGACAAGGAAAAGUUUCUCGGCAUCCUUUUUUUAUUUCAAUCUUUACAGAGAAGGGCUAUAGAACCCAGCUUCUUGGAUAAUGGCAUUGUCCUGAGUGAAUCUCCACCCCCCUUCCCUCCCACUUCCUCAUUCGUCAUCAUCAUCAUCUCUGCUAUGAGUGCUGCUACGUGCCCUUUGUCUUUGAGCUCUUUGCUCUCCUACUUUUAAGGCUCACCAGGUUCUGGGAGAUGGAGGAUCUGGAAUGUUUUCUAAUGACAACAUGUCAGCUGGGUGUUGUUCUGGCUCUCCUAUGAUUUCCCAGCUUUCCCCCUCAUCUGCCUCUGAGCUGUGACCACCCGCAAACCACUGUUGUAAAUCUAGACUGUUUUCCUCUUCCUCCUCCCUGGAAGGGUCAGGAUGGGGAAGCAGUCUCCACCAUUCCUCCUCUGCCCAGUCCCUGACUUUUGCCUUUGUUGUAAGGAGUCAACAGAUACAGAGAUGGGAUCACUGGCACCUUGGAAGUGGAGGUCUUCGCCAUUCACUACUCCACACUGGGCUAGCUGGAUUCUUAACAUGGGCCUAACCCUAAAGGGGAUAUUGAAAUGCAGCCAGAGAUCACUGGUACUUUCUGACUCAGAAUUCUCUACUGCCAGGUAGAUCCCUCUGAUGACCUCAUGGAUGUUUUCUUUCACUCAUCGCAAUGACUCCAUGAUUGGGUGAGACAAGAAGCUUUAAAAUAUACAUCAGAGUGAAAAGUCAUUUUAUGACUGCGAUUACUGGGAAUAGCUGCCAAGGCACCUCAGGUGAGAAACUUCCAUAAAAACUGACACCCAGCCAACAUUGCUGCAGAUUGGAAAGGUGCAAAAUGGCAUUAUAAUGUCCAUGAUGAGAUAUUUUGGCUUCACAUUAGGACCAUAAGCCCCCAACAGCCAAAUUAGAUGGGACGUUAAAUGUUGUGGGUGCCCAAACAUGGUGUGGUAUAGGAGAGGGGAAGCUUAACCCUUCUGGUCUACUAUGGUCCUAGUGAAAAUUGACUCUUAAAUCCUCUAGAAGUCUGUGGAAGGAAGCUGCCAUUGUCAUCAAUGGAAACUUCAGGGUGGGACGCCCUCCCACCAGAUGUCAAAGAGAACAACAACUACCAAACUUUUAGAAGACAUCUGAAGGCAGCCCUGUUUAGGGAAGCUUUUAAUGUUUGAUGCGUCACUGUAUUUUAAUAUUUGGUUGGAAGCCACCCAGAGUGGCUGGGGAAGACCAGCCAGAUGAGCGGGGUAUAAAUAAUAAAUUAUUAUUAUUAUUAUUAUUAUUAUUAUUAUUAUUAUUAUUUAUUAUGGGACAAUGGGGAGAAAAGUUAACCCCAUCAUCCCACCGGCAACUGUAGUUUGGGCAAAACAGACAAGCACACAAACAAGGCAUGCUAAAUACACUGAGACAUUUAAUGCCACAUUAAAUGUGACAUUUGCACGCAAAGACUCACAUGGCCUAAUACCCAACAUCUCCCUGUAGGGCAGGCCUGAAACAAUAGAUAGCCAUUGCCAGUCAGUGUAGAAAAUACUGAGCUAGAUACAACAUUAGUUCAAUUUCAUCAAAUGAAACUUGCUCGGCUCUCUAUUUUCCUCUCUGUGCCAGGACCUAGCUGAAUCUCGCCUCUCUUGACAUCAAUAACCUGAAAGAAUGACAUUUCACUGCACACCUACACCAUUCGUGGCCCAUUUAUGAGAGUCUAGCCUCCAAGCAUUGUUGGCCUGCCAUAGGUUUGAUACACCUCUCUGUUUUUGCAGUUACUUUCCCCAUUUCUGUUUUUUUUUUUUUUAAAUAAUUUUUAUUAAGGUUUUAAACAAAGAAAAAAGAAAAACAACACACACAAAGAACAAUAACAAUAAAAACAGAAAACAUAACAAUUAAAAACAAACUCUCUUUUCCAUUUCCAAUUUUAAAUUACUUAUUUUCUGGACUUCCUCAUACCUCCCUCUUUUGUAUUCCAAUCCACAUUAUUUAUCCAGCAGUUUCUUUUCCACUUUUUUUAAUCCCCAUCUUUAAUUUAAUAAAAUAUUAAAAUAUAUAACUUCACUUUUUUAAACCUAAUCCUUACUCUUAAUGUCAUAUAGCUUCAAAUUUUUCCCUUUUAUUAUCAAAUUUCCAUUUCUUUAAACAUCUUUAAUCUUAAUCUUUAAUCUUAAUCUAUCCUUAUCUUUAACCUGUACAACUGGAAACCACUUAUUUUCAGUCCAACAUCACUCUAACAUUCCUUAAUUUUGCAGUGUUUCUGAAGAUAGUCUUUGAAUUUCUUCCAGUCUUCCUCCAUCGACUCUUCUCCCUGGUCACGGAUUCUGCCAGUCAUUUCCGCCAAUUCCAUGUAGUCCAUAAGUUUCAUCUGCCAUUCCUCCAGCGUGGGAAGUUCUUGUGUCUUCCAAUACUUUGCGAUGAGUAUUCUUGCUGCUGUAGUUGCAUACAUAAAGAAAGUUCUAUCUUUUUUUAACACCAUUUGGCCCACCAUGCCCAGGAGAAAGGCCUCUGGUUUCUUGGGAAAGGUAUACUUAAAUACCUUUUUUAAUUCAUUAUAUAUCAUUUCCCAGAAAACCUUAAUCUUUGGGCACGUCCACCAAAGGUGAAAAAAUGUACCUUCAGUUUCUUUACAUUUCCAACAUUUGUUAUCGGGCAAGUGAUAAAUUUUCGCAAGCUUGACUGGGGUUAUGUACCACCUGUAUAUCAUUUUCAUAAUAUUCUCUCUUAAGGCAUUACAUGCCGUAAAUUUCAUACCAGUGGUCCAUAACUGUUCCCAGUCAGCAAACAUAAUGUUGUGUCCUACGUCCUGUGCCCAUUUAAUCAUAGCCGAUUUUACCGUUUCAUCUUGAGUAUUCCAUUUCAGCAGCAAGUUAUACAUUCUUGACAGAUUCUUAGUAUUGGGUUCUAACAAUUCUGUUUCUAAUUUCGAUUUUUCCACCUGGAAGCCAAUUUUCCUGUCUAAUUUAAAUGCCUCCAUUAUUUGAUAAUAAUGAAGCCAGUCUCGCACUUUGUUUUUUAAUUUUUCAAAACUCUGCAAUUUCAGUCUAUCUCCGUACUUUCCCCAUUUCUGUGAACAUGCCACACAUACAGGAAUCUCUCUUUAUGAAAUGACAUGAGUUAUUUCUACCAGUUUUUGGCAGCAAACAUGUUUAUUUUCCAAAUAAUUUGAGUAAGACUUUAUAUAGAAGUUCUGUAGCCAUGGCUCCCCCCCCCCCAAGAAAACAUUCUUUUGGAUUUAUUUCACUAACAGUACACAAGUGUUACUCAGUGGUGGCAGCAUCGGGGUGAUUCUGUAUUAUUAGUUCUUGCACCAAAGAGAGAAAAAACAGGGGAGGUGUUCUUCUCCAGCCUAAGUAGCAGCAGACUGUCCCCUGUUAUCACCACUAGGAGGAGACAAAGAGGAAGAAAAUGGUGCUGAAAUUGGUGACCACAACAAAAUCCCCAUGUCAGCAGUUAUUAUCAGUUGUUAUUUACCCUUUGUCAUGAGGUCCCAUGGAGGGUUACAACAAUUAAAACACUAUGUUGAAACCAAUUUGAAACAGAAUUACAGAAUUAAAUGAGAAGUCUGGUGAAACUCAAAUGGUUUCCCAGUUUCAACAGGCUCCUCUAAUUUUCUGCUUAGAGUAAAAAGGUAAGGCAAUUUUAUCAAGGAUUCCAGUCUUGAUUUCCACCUGCACUUACUUCCAAGUAAUUAUGCUUAAGAAUUCAGCUUUUGGCUGCAAAUGUAUACCCAAGCCUGUUUGAAUAUAAGAUUUAGGCCAACAACCAAUUCACGCUUUUCUAGAAAAAGAGGUGCCAGAGCUCACCAUGAACAGCUUCCUCGUUCUCUUAGAAAGGCAACGGGGCCCUCCAAGAAGUGUUGGAACUGAGUUCAAGUGAGUUCCAGCUGAAAAAAAGCCCUGUCCAAAACAAUAUGCAAACCGAAACACAGCUUUUCAUUGAAAUAUGCACUUUUCUGAAUUUUGCAACGCAAUUCUCCAGCCAACUUAUGCACACAAAAUGCAUGUACUAUGAAAUAGUGUGCAUAAAAUGAAAAUAUUUGUGAAAAUAACAUACACUGUAUUAGUGAAAAUUGCUUUGCAAAAAAAUAUGUAUAUUAGGAUAAGAUCAACAAAGAUGCUGCUGAUGAACUUUCAUGAGGACAUAAAAAGAAAAAACACAAGUUUUUAGUCUUAGGAAGUUUCUCCUAACGUUAAGCAGUUUUCCUAUUAGAUGUGGUCUGGAGCAACAUAAAGAAAAGGGGAAGGCAGAAUAGAGAGAGGUGGAAGGUAAGACGAAUGUUGGCCCAGCAGAGGGCAGCGUUGCAGUGUCUACAGACUUAAAGACCACAGUGCUUUGCAUCAAUGUGAAGAUACAUGGAACGCAUAAAGCUGCCUUAGACCAAGUCAAGCCAUUCAUCUGAAAUUCACUGGAUAUAGCCUGUAUUCAGCCCUCAUAAGCAGCGUCCAGGCGGAAAUCGUUGAAAUGUUUGGGAAAAUCCAGACGUUUGUGGCGAAUGUAAUGAAAAAUAGCUCAGAAACUCUUUUUUUUUUUUUGAGACAAAACUCAACAACUUUGGGCAAAACUUAAACAAAAGCUCAAGAACUUUUGUGUCCGGAUUUUCACCUUUUCAAAUAUGGCAACCCUAGUCCUUCCCCAGCCUUAGAAGCUGGGGAUUGAACCCGCAACCUUUUGCAAGCAAAGCUAUGAGCCUUCCCCAUCCUUUUGUGAUGAUGACUUAUCAAUGCACCAAACAUGCACUCCUGUGAACUGAAAAAAUCACAUAAAUAAGCAAACUUGGAGGAA